CUACGGGAUGCAGCAGUAGGGAAUAUUGGUCAAUGGGCGCAAGCCUGAACCAGCCAUCCCGCGUGCAGGAAGAAUGCCCUAUGGGUUGUAAACUGCUUUUAUACAGGAAGAAACCCUCCGACGUGUCGGAGCCUGACUGUACUGUAUGAAUAAGCACCGGCUAACUCCGUGCCAGCGGCCGCGGUAAUACGGAGGGUGCAAGCGUUAUCCGGAUUUACUGGGUUUAAAGGGUGCGUAGGCGGACUAGUAAGUCAGUGGUGAAAGCCUAUGGCUCAACCAUAGAAUUGCCAUUGUUACUAUUAGUCUUGAGUGCGGUUGAAGUAAGCGGAAUGUAACAUGUAGCGGUGAAAUGCAUAGAUAUGUACAGAACACCAAUUGCGAAGGCAGCUUUCUAAACCGUAACUGACGCUCAGGCACGAAAGCGUGGGUAGCGAACAGGAUUAGAUACCCCUGUAGUC
This 458-nucleotide ribosomal RNA is filed under the name uncultured bacterium. RNAcentral's name for it is "partial 16S ribosomal RNA". It matches the Rfam family "Bacterial small subunit ribosomal RNA", at positions 339 to 795 of the family's 1533-position model. The record is from RNAcentral.